GGGGAUGUGGCUCAAGUGGUAGUGCGCUCGCCUGCCAUGUGCGGGGGUGCUGGGUUCGAUCAUCAGCACCACA
This 73-nucleotide transfer RNA is filed under the name Marmota monax (woodchuck). Its description in RNAcentral is "tRNA.Gly". The record is from RNAcentral. Lineage: Eukaryota; Metazoa; Chordata; Mammalia; Rodentia; Sciuridae.